AGAGUUUGAUCAUGGCUCAGAACGAACGCUGGCGGCGUGGAUAAGACAUGCAAGUCGAGCGCUGAUUACAGGGUAGCAAUAUUCUGUGGUCGGAGCGGCGCAAGGGUGCGUAACACGUGGGUAAUCUGCCAUGAAGUUUGGGAUAACUCGCUGAAAGGCGAGCUAAUACCGGAUGUGACAAUUGGAAGGCAUCUUCCGAUUUUCAAAGUUGGGGACCGUAAGGCCUGACGCUUCAUGAUGAGCCCGCGGCCUAUCAGCUAGUUGGUGAGGUAACGGCUCACCAAGGCUAAGACGGGUAGCUGGUCUGAGAGGACGACCAGCCACACUGGAACUGAGACACGGUCCAGACACCUACGGGUGGCAGCAGUCGAGAAUUUUUCACAAUGGGCGAAAGCCUGAUGGAGCGACGCCGCGUGGGGGAUGAAUGGCUUCGGCCCGUAAACCCCUGUCAUUUGCGAACAAACCUUGCUAUUUAAAAGAUGGCGAGCUGAUUGUAGCGAAAGAGGAAGGGACGGCUAACUUCGUGCCAGCCGCCGCGGUAAUAC
RNAcentral lists this ribosomal RNA (545 nucleotides) under uncultured bacterium. RNAcentral describes it as "bacterial SSU rRNA". It matches the Rfam family "Bacterial small subunit ribosomal RNA", at positions 8 to 526 of the family's 1533-position model. The record is from RNAcentral.